AUUUUAAUGUAGGUACUUCCAGGAUAAUACGAGCAGACAGGGGAAAUGAAAACUUAAAUAUCGCUGCUAUUCAAAUGUUUUUUAGAAGAAAUUACACUGACGCGUUUGCCGGCGAGAACAGUGUCUUGUUUGGAAAAUCAACGUCUAACCAGCGCAUAGAGCCUUUGUGGUCGCAUUUAAGAAAGACCAAAAUUGACUGGUGGAUUAUUUUAAUUAUUUUAAAGAUAUGGACAGUGAUGGUUCGUGGGAGUCAAGUGAUGUGAUUCAUCGGGAAGCUCUAAAGUUUAGUUUCAACGAAAUUGUACAAAAGGAGUUGGACGACUUUCGUGUAUUGCACAACACUCAUCGGAUUAGACCAUACCGGAAUCAACACUGUCCUAAUGGUCGACCGUGUUUUAUUUAUU
Hydractinia symbiolongicarpus is the source of this 404-nucleotide long non-coding RNA. RefSeq lists it as uncharacterized. The transcript has 4 exons. NCBI's taxonomy places the organism in Eukaryota, Metazoa, Cnidaria, Hydrozoa, Anthoathecata, Hydractiniidae. The record is from RefSeq and is a predicted model, not a curated record.